GGGCCUUUAGCUCAGUUGGUAGAGCGCCACGUUUACACCGUGGAUGUCGUCGGUUCGAGCCCGGCAGGGCCCACCA
Molecule: transfer RNA, 76 nt
Filed under: Agromyces ramosus
Lineage: Bacteria; Bacillati; Actinomycetota; Actinomycetes; Micrococcales; Microbacteriaceae
Also listed under: 14 other names
Description: tRNA-Val
Rfam family: tRNA
About the family: Transfer RNA (tRNA) molecules are approximately 80 nucleotides in length. Their secondary structure includes four short double-helical elements and three loops (D, anti-codon, and T loops).
Source: RNAcentral